Megalobrama amblycephala (Wuchang bream) is the source of this 1788-nucleotide long non-coding RNA. RefSeq lists it as uncharacterized. NCBI's taxonomy places the organism in Eukaryota, Metazoa, Chordata, Actinopteri, Cypriniformes, Xenocyprididae. The record is from RefSeq and is a predicted model, not a curated record. The transcript is spliced from 4 exons.
UCCACAUGUGCUUUCACACAUAACAUCACAUAUUCACCCAGCUAAAGUUCCAAAAGUGCCUUGGUUUGUGUGUGUAUGUGUGUGUUCAUCCAUGUGUAAAUAACAGUAGCCAAGGGCAUGGAUUUAGUCAGCAUACAAGGUCACAGCAGCAAAGCCAAAAGAAAGAGAGAGAGAGAGAGAGAGAGAGAGAGGGGUUUGCUCAUCUCAUCAGAGUUUAUAAUUGUAAUUGUAUGUUCAACAGACUGUUCCAGACAAACACUAUAAAGCUCAUCAUAAGCACAAGGAUAAUAUUUUACUUAUUCAAACAGUGGCCUAUAUUAUAUUGUGAACAUUCAUUUUUAUUUCCCCCCACCACCCACAGAGGCCAUUAAAUCCUGAGCAGAGAGUGUGUGUGGGACAUUAUAGAGAGAGAUCACCAAUGCAUUAGCUAGUUAGACCUGCAGGCUCUCUCUCUCACACACACAUACACACACACACACACACACACACACACACAUUUGUCUAUGUUUCAGGGGGUGGAGAAGGUCCAUUGGUGCAGGUUGGGAAAUGAAGUACUAUGCCUGAAGAGAAAUAAAGCAAACUUAGAGACACCUGAAGUGCAGUUUUCCCCCAGGGAUUAAAUAAAGUACCAUUCUAUCCUAUAUGCCUUCGUUGGAUAGAAAAGAGCAGGAGUUUGGAGGCCGGCAUGAGGAGAAGAAUGAGUGUUUUCUGGAUUCAUAACCUUGACCUGUUUUUCUCGUCUCACCAGCACCAGCUGCUAACUCACAAACAUACAUGUCCCGUGGGUGAGAGCGAGGCUAGUCUUUUCUUUUUCUGCUGAAGAGAAAUCUCUGAAUCUCGUAGAGAUCCACGUCGCUCGCGGACAUGCGGGUGCUGCACCUGGGUCACAAUACUUCACGCAUGACGAGUCACGCGACGGAACCCGCAGGCCACGCGCUCCUCCGCAUUAAAUACACCAGCGCGAGCUGAUGCGCGCGGGGGUCUGACCUGCGGCCGGGAUAUGAGUUCACUUUACUGCCGUGACCGCGGACACACGCCUUCAAGGGAUUGUUUUCGAUCAAUUUUAGCAUUCUUUGCUUGCCUUAAACGAGAUGGGAAGAUGCAGAAUCAGAAUUCUCAUUUCCGUUUACGAUUCUUGUUGAUUUCCGUUCUGCUGAUUGCAUUACAAGUAAGCGUGAUAAUGAAAAUAUUACGAGAUGUUUAUAAUAAUAAUAAUAAUAAUAAUAGCAUAUUCACAAUAAUUUUAGGCUAAGACUUUCAAUGACCGAUUUUUACGUUUUAAUAGGCUAUUUUUAUAAAUGGCCCCUUCCAUCUUUAGCUGAACCGUAAACAACGCUUUAUGACUAAAGUAGCCUAGUUAUAUUGUGAUCUAAUAUUGUUAAUACAACUAUGACAUCACAUCAUUGAUAUUUAAUAGACUGCAGUUUAUUUAUUUUUCAUAUUAGCUUUUCAUUGUUUCAGUUACUUCUGUUGCAGUCAUGCUAACUAUAGCAAAAGAAAUAUCCAAGGAACAAGAUCGUGAGAGGCUAGGCUAUCUUUAAAGAAAACAUUUAGCCUACAUAGCAUUUAUAUAUUGGAGGUUUAUGAUGAAAUAAUUCAGUAGGCUAAUUACUAAUUGAAGAAAAAAAAAAACAAAAAAAAAAAACUAAUGGUUGUUUUUCCUGAAAUAAAAUGAAAUAUCGUUUGCAAAUCCAAUGUUAGCCUUUAAGAUGUCACCUGUAUGCUAGACUACUAUUGCCUGACUGAAAAUUAACUUUCAUGCGAAUAAAAUAAUUACUAAUGAUAGGA